RNAcentral lists this long non-coding RNA (517 nucleotides) under Homo sapiens (human). Its description in RNAcentral is "HSALNT0234858". The record is from RNAcentral. Lineage: Eukaryota; Metazoa; Chordata; Mammalia; Primates; Hominidae.
GGUUCCUUUUAAGAAAAGCAACCAGAGGGCACAUUUCUUUGAGGCCGUAUCGUGUUGGGCAAAACUAUGAAAUGCUUAUUAACGUUUGAAAUUUCAUAAUUAUUUUUGAUUAAAAAAGAUGUUCUGCAAAGCGAUGUCUGUUUCCCAUAACUGGCGAGCGUUCCCCAGAUGGCCAUUCAGCCACCUCAAGAAUUAAUGUUUUCAUGACCCACGACCGCUUUUUCGUGGAGGAGUGUCUCUCCUACAGGUUGCUCCCCAGGAUGAGAACAAUAAAAGCAAAUCUAUAACAGCAAAGGCCCGAGGUUAAUGUCUUUAACAAGAUAAUGUUACUUAAGGGAACUGUAACGCAAAUCAUUCUGAAAUUCCAUAUAUUCGCUGCAGCUCCGAAACCAGCUGCACGUGCUGCCGGCGUGUCUGGCCAUGGAAAGGCUUGCUUUGUAAGUUACUUAUUUUGCUCAUGUGUCAGCCUGUUAGUUUAAUACUGUAAUCACUCAAAAUCCCCGUAAGAUGUGCGGAA